GUGUCAGCCGCCGCGGUAAUACGGAGGGUGCAAGCGUUAUCCGGAUUCACUGGGUUUAAAGGGUGCGUAGGCGGGCAGGUAAGUCAGUGGUGAAAUCCUAGAGCUUAACUCUAGAACUGCCAUUGAUACUAUCUGUCUUGAAUAUUGUGGAGGUAAGCGGAAUAUGUCAUGUAGCGGUGAAAUGCUUAGAUAUGACAUAGAACACCUAUUGCGAAGGCAGCUUACUACGCAUAUAUUGACGCUGAGGCACGAAAGCGUGGGGAUCAAACAGGAUUAGAUACCCCCGUAGUCC
RNAcentral lists this ribosomal RNA (292 nucleotides) under uncultured bacterium. Its description in RNAcentral is "partial 16S ribosomal RNA". It matches the Rfam family "Bacterial small subunit ribosomal RNA", at positions 505 to 796 of the family's 1533-position model. The record is from RNAcentral.